UGAGCCCCAAGCGUUAUCCGGAAUUAUUGGGCGUAAAGGGUGCGUAGGCGGCUUGGUUAGUCGACUGGUUAAAGUCUGGGGCUCAACCCCAGUUCUGCCAGCGAAACGGCCAAGCUAGAGAUAGUCAGAGGUACAGGGAACUCAUGGUGUAGGGGUGAAAUCCGUUGAUAUCAUGGGGAACACCAAAGGCGAAGGCACUGUACUGGGACUUUUCUGACGCUGAGGCACGAAACCCUGGGGAGCGAAGCGG
This 250-nucleotide ribosomal RNA is filed under the name uncultured archaeon. RNAcentral's name for it is "partial 16S ribosomal RNA". It matches the Rfam family "Bacterial small subunit ribosomal RNA", at positions 528 to 776 of the family's 1533-position model. The record is from RNAcentral.